AGCUUUGCGCAGUGGCAGUAUCAUAGCCACUGAGGUUUAUCCGAGGCACGGUUAUUGUUAAUUGAGAUUGGAUUUAUUGCC
RNAcentral lists this small nuclear RNA (81 nucleotides) under Fukomys damarensis (Damara mole-rat). RNAcentral describes it as "U4 spliceosomal RNA (ENSFDAG00000004570.1)". The stretch from base 1 to 69 matches the Rfam family "U4 spliceosomal RNA". Rfam says of the family: U4 small nuclear RNA (U4 snRNA) is a component of the major U2-dependent spliceosome. The structure of U4 snRNA from yeast and human has been reported. U4 snRNA presents a k-turn RNA motif in the 5p-SL related to recognition of Snu13 protein. The record is from RNAcentral. Lineage: Eukaryota; Metazoa; Chordata; Mammalia; Rodentia; Bathyergidae.